AGGAGGAACAGCCUCAGUGGCGGGGCAGCUCUGGAAACCUGGAUUCAGCUCCGGCAGGAACUCCGUCUGCAGGGCCUGGAGGCUCCGGGCGGGG
Molecule: non-coding RNA, 94 nt
Organism: Canis lupus familiaris (dog)
Lineage: Eukaryota; Metazoa; Chordata; Mammalia; Carnivora; Canidae
Source: Rfam